RNAcentral lists this ribosomal RNA (497 nucleotides) under uncultured bacterium. RNAcentral's name for it is "partial 16S ribosomal RNA". It matches the Rfam family "Bacterial small subunit ribosomal RNA", at positions 28 to 507 of the family's 1533-position model. The record is from RNAcentral.
GAUGAACGCUGGCGGCGUGCCUAAUACAUGCAAGUCGAGCGAACAGACGAGGAGCUUGCUCCUCUGACGUUAGCGGCGGACGGGUGAGUAACACGUGGAUAACCUACCUAUAAGACUGGGAUAACUUCGGGAAACCGGAGCUAAUACCGGAUAAUAUAUUGAACCGCAUGGUUCAAUAGUGAAAGACGGUUUUGCUGUCACUUAUAGAUGGAUCCGCGCCGCAUUAGCUAGUUGGUAAGGUAACGGCUUACCAAGGCAACGAUGCGUAGCCGACCUGAGAGGGUGAUCGGCCACGCUGGAACUGAGACACGGUCCAGACUCCUACGGGAGGCAGCAGUAGGGAAUCUUCCGAAAUGGGCGAAAGCUUGACGGAGCAACGCCGCGUGAGUGAUGAAGGUCUUCGGAUCGUAAAACUCUGUUAUUAGGGAAGAACAAAUGUGUAAGUAACUAUGCACGUCUUGACGGUACCUAAUCAGAAAGCCACGGCUAACUACGUG